RNAcentral lists this unclassified non-coding RNA (353 nucleotides) under soil metagenome. RNAcentral's name for it is "partial contains 5.8S ribosomal RNA, internal transcribed spacer 2, and large subunit ribosomal RNA". The stretch from base 2 to 121 matches the Rfam family "5.8S ribosomal RNA", at positions 35 to 154 of the family's 154-position model. The record is from RNAcentral.
GGAUGAAGAACGUAGCGAAAUGCGAUAAGUAGUGUGAAUUGCAGAAUUCAGUGAAUCAUCGAAUCUUUGAACGCACAUUGCGCCCGCCAGUAUUCUGGCGGGCAUGCCUGUUCGAGCGUCAUUACAACCCUCAGGCCCCCGGGCCUGGCGUUGGGGAUCGGCGGAGCCCCCCGUGGGCACACGCCGUCCCCCAAAUACAGUGGCGGUCCCGCCGCAGCUUCCAUCGCGUAGUAGCUAACACCUCGCGACUGGAGAGCGGCGCGGCCACGCCGUAAAACACCCAACUCUUCUGAAGUUGACCUCGAAUCAGGUAGGAAUACCCGCUGAACUUAAGCAUAUCAAUAAGCGGAGGA